RNAcentral lists this ribosomal RNA (433 nucleotides) under uncultured bacterium. Its description in RNAcentral is "partial 16S ribosomal RNA". It matches the Rfam family "Bacterial small subunit ribosomal RNA", at positions 29 to 507 of the family's 1533-position model. The record is from RNAcentral.
AACGAACGCUGGCGGCAUGCCUAAUGCAUGCAAGUCGAACGAGACCUUCGGGUCUAGUGGCGCACGGGUGCGUAACGCGUGGGAACCUGCCCUUAGGUUCGGCAUAACUCCCCGACAGGGGUGCUAAUACCGGAUAAUGUCUUCGGACCAAAGAUUUAUCGCCUUUGGAUGGGCCCGCGUUGGAUUAGCUAGUUGGUAGGGUUAAAGCCUACCAAGGCGACGAUCCAUAGCUGGUUUGAGAGGAUGAUCAGCCACACUGGGACUGAGACACGGCCCAGACUCCUACGGGAGGCAGCAGUGGGGGAUAUUGGACAGUGGGCGAAGGCAUGAUCCAGCAAUGCCGCGUGAGUGAUGAAGGCCUUAGGGUUGUAAAGCUCUUUUACCCGGGAUGAUAAUGACAGUACCGGGAGAAUAAGCUCCGGCUAACUCCGUG